This 563-nucleotide ribosomal RNA is filed under the name uncultured bacterium. Its description in RNAcentral is "bacterial SSU rRNA". It matches the Rfam family "Bacterial small subunit ribosomal RNA", at positions 338 to 916 of the family's 1533-position model. The record is from RNAcentral.
CCUACGGGAGGCAGCAGUGGGGGAAUCUUGCGCAAUGGGCGAAAGCCUGACGCAGCCAUGCCGCGUGAAUGAUGAAGGUCUUAGGAUUGUAAAAUUCUUUCACCGGGGACGAUAAUGACGGUACCCGGAGAAGAAGCCCCGGCUAACUUCGUGCCAGCAGCCGCGGUAAUACGAAGGGGGGCUAGCGUUGCUCGGAAUUACUGGGCGUAAAGGGAGCGUAGGCGGAUAGUUUAGUCAGAGGUGAAAGCCCAGGGCUCAACCUUGGAAUUGCCUUUGAUACUGGCUAUCUUGAGUAUGGGAGAGGUUAGCGGAACUCCGAGUGUAGAGGUGAAAUUCGUAGAUAUUCGGAAGAACACCAGUGGCGAAGGCGGCUAACUGGCCCAUUACUGACGCUGAGGCUCGAAAGCGUGGGGAGCAAACAGGAUUAGAUACCCUGGUAGUCCACGCCGUAAACGAUGAGUGCUAGUUGUCGGCAUGCAUGCAUGUCGGUGACGCAGCUAACGCAUUAAGCACUCCGCCUGGGGAGUACGGUCGCAAGAUUAAAACCUCAAAGGAAUUGACGG